AUUGGCAUUAUGAACAUGAGAAUCUUUAACUUUAUAUGUGUUUUUCUUAUUGGAUCGGUCUAUUCUACUAUAUGUACAAACAAAAAAGGUGAAAAUUAUUGCUGUUCUGGUUACAUGUUGAACGUAGAAUCAAACAAGUGUGAAAAAUGUCCAAAUGGAUAUACCGGAGCUGAAUGCCUGUACAGAUGUAUUUAUCCUGCCUUUGGAGAAGAUUGUCUUCAAAAAUGCAAUUGUACCGAGGACAUAUGUGAUUUUAUCAAUGGAUGCCAUUUUAAAAGUCUUC
Molecule: long non-coding RNA, 283 nt
Organism: Saccostrea cuccullata (small rock oyster)
Lineage: Eukaryota; Metazoa; Mollusca; Bivalvia; Ostreida; Ostreidae
Exons: 3
Source: RefSeq, a predicted model, not a curated record